Molecule: ribosomal RNA, 253 nt
Filed under: uncultured bacterium
Lineage: Bacteria
Description: partial 16S ribosomal RNA
Rfam family: Bacterial small subunit ribosomal RNA
Source: RNAcentral
UACAGAGGAGCCAAGCGUUGUCCGGAUUGACUGGGCGUAAAGCGCACGCAGGCGGAUGCGCGCGUGGGGUGUGAAAUCUGGCCGCUUAACGGCCAGGCGCCAUCCCAUACGGCGCGUCUGGAGUGAUGCAGAGGUCGAUGGAAUUGCCGGUGUAGUGGUGAAAUGCGUAGAGAUCGGCAGGAACACCCAGGGGGAAACCAGUCGACUGGGCAUCUACUGACGCGGAGGUGCGAGAGCGUGGGGAGCGAACCGG